This 70-nucleotide transfer RNA is filed under the name Polypedates leucomystax (Java whipping frog). Its description in RNAcentral is "tRNA-Ala". It matches the Rfam family "tRNA". Rfam says of the family: Transfer RNA (tRNA) molecules are approximately 80 nucleotides in length. Their secondary structure includes four short double-helical elements and three loops (D, anti-codon, and T loops). RNAcentral also lists the same sequence under 1 other name. The record is from RNAcentral. Lineage: Eukaryota; Metazoa; Chordata; Amphibia; Anura; Rhacophoridae.
AGGGCUUUAUUUUAAUUUAAAAAGUUUGAGUUGCAUUCAGUAAAUGUAGGUUAAUAUCCUACAAGUCCUA